Molecule: ribosomal RNA, 467 nt
Filed under: uncultured bacterium
Lineage: Bacteria
Description: partial 16S ribosomal RNA
Rfam family: Bacterial small subunit ribosomal RNA
Source: RNAcentral
GAUGAACGCUGGCGGCGUGCUUAACACAUGCAAGUCGAACGGAAAGGCCCAAGCUUGCUUGGGUACUCGAGUGGCGAACGGGUGAGUAACACGUGGGUGAUCUGCCCUGCACUUCGGGAUAAGCCUGGGAAACUGGGUCUAAUACCGGAUAGGACGAUGGUUUGGAUGCCAUUGUGGAAAGUUUUUUCGGUGUGGGAUGAGCUCGCGGCCUAUCAGCUUGUUGGUGGGGUAAUGGCCUACCAAGGCGUCGACGGGUAGCCGGCCUGAGAGGGUGUACGGCCACAUUGGGACUGAGAUACGGCCCAGACUCCUACGGGAGGCAGCAGUGGGGAAUAUUGCACAAUGGGCGCAAGCCUGAUGCAGCGACGCCGCGUGGGGGAUGACGGCCUUCGGGUUGUAAACUCCUUUCGCUAGGGACGAAGCGUUUUGUGACGGUACCUGGAGAAGAAGCCCCGGCUAACUACGUG